UGGAAAUGCAGAAAUCACCCACCUUCUGCGUUGAUCUCUGCGGGAGCUGUAGACUGGAGCUCUUCCUAUUCGGCCAUCUUGCCAGCCACCCGUACUGUACUUUGGAAGAAAGUCACUACAUAUAGCCAGCACUUUAAAAGAAUGGAGAAUUAUGGUCCCUAUCCUUAAGGCAAAUACAUUGGAGACUUCUCAACUUUCUGCUUCUGAUGAUCUCAACUUGUGGUAUGGCAAAAGGAGAGCAAAAUGUUCACCCAGGAACGAGAAGUCCUGGCAGCUGAGUCAUGAUCCCCCAGGAGCCAUUAAGAAGUUAAUCUUCAGUCACUUCCAUCCAAACAGAAGAAAACCCAUGAAGGAUGAGAACUAUGGGUCCUGAGAAUGACAGGUAUUGAAGACAGGAUUUAUCUUCUCUACUUCUUCUUUUAGAAGCAGAUCAAGAAACUGGCGAUUGAAGAGUAACUGAAAGAAACGCAAUCUGAUCUUACUAGCAGUGAAAGAGCGAGUCUCCCUCUGAUGCCGAGCAGAAGCUAGACUGUACUGCUGCCAUCUCAGCUCACUGCAACCUCCCUGCCUGAUUCUCCUGCCUCAGCCUGCUGAGUGCCUGCAAUUGCAGGCGCGCCGCCACGCCUGACUGGUUUUCGUAUUUUUUUGGUGGAGACGGGGAUUCGCUGUGUUGGCCGGGCUGGUCUCCAGCUCCUAACCGCGAGUGAUCCACCAGCCUCGGCCUCCUGAGGUGCCGGGAUUGCAGACGGAGUCUGGUUCACUCAGUGCUCAAUGGCGCCCAGACUGGAGUGCAGUGGCGUGAUCUCAGCUCGCUACAACCUCCACCUCCCAGCCGCCUCCCUUGGCCUCCCAAAGUGCAGAGAUUGCAGCCUCUGCCCGGCCGCCACCCCGCCUGGGAAGUGAGGAGCGUCUCUGCCUGGCCGCCCAUUGUCUGGGAUGUGAGGAGCCCCUCUGCCUGGCUGCCCAGUCUGGAAAGUGAGGAGUGUCUCUGCCUGGCCGCCAUCCCAUCUAGGAAGUGAGGAGCGCCUCUUCCCGGCCGCCAUCCCAUCUAGGAAGUGAGGAGCCUCUCUGCCCAGCCGCCCAUCGUCUGAGAUGUGGGGAGCGCCUCUGCCCCGCCGCCCCGUCUGGGAUGUGAGGAGCGCCUCUACCCCGCCGCGACCCCGUCUGGGAGGUGAGGAGCGUCUCUGCCCGGCGGCCCCGUCUGGGAAGUGAGGAGACCCUCCGCCCGGCAGCCGCCCCAUCUGAGAAGUGAGGAGCCCCUCUGCCCAGCAGCCACCCUGUCUGGGAAGUGAGGAGCGUCUCUGCCCAGCAGCCACCCCGUCUGGGAGGGAGGUGGGGGGUCAGCCCCCCGCCCGGCCAGCCGCCCCGUCCGGGAGGUGAGGGGCGCCUCUGCCCGGCGGCCCCUACUGGGAAGUGAGGAGCCCCUCUGCCCGGCCAGCCGCCCCGUCUGGGAAGUGAGGAGCGUCUCCGCCCAGCAGCCACCCCGUCCGGGAGGGAGGUGGGGGGAUCAGCCCCCCGCCCGGCCAGCCGCCCAGUCCGGGAGGGAGGUGGGGGGGUCAGCCCCCCGCCCGGCCAGCCGCCCCGUCCGGGAGGUGAGGGGUGCCUCUGCCCGGCCGCCCCUACUGGGAAGUGAGGAGCCCCUCUGCCCGGCCAGCCGCCCGGUCCGGGAGGGAGGUGGGGGGGUCAGCCCCCUGCCUGGCAAGCCGCCCCGUCUGGGAGGGAGGUGGGGGGAUCAGCCCCCCGCCGGGCCAGCCACCCCGUCCGGGAGGUGAGGGGUGCCUCUGCCCGGCCGCCCCUACUGGGAAGUGAGGAGCCCCUCUGCCCGGCCAGCCGCCCCAUCCGGGAGUGAGGUGGGGGGGUCAGCCCCCUGCCCGGCCAGCCGCCCCGUCCGGGAGGUGAGGGGCGCCUCUGCCCGGCCGCCCCUACUGGGAAGUGAGGAGCCCCUCUGCCCGGCCACCACCCCGUCUGGGAGGUGUACCCAACAGCUCAUUGAGAACGGGCCAUGAUGACAAUGGCGGUUUUGUGGAAUAGAAAGCGGGGAAAGGUGGGGAAAAGAUUGAGAAAUCGGAUGGUUGCCGUGUCUGUGUAGAAAGAGGUAGACAUGGGAGACUUUUCAUUUUGUUCUGUACUAAGAAAAAUUCUUAUCCUGUUGAUCUGUGACCUUACCCCCAACCCCGUGCUCUCUGAAACAUGUGCUGUGUCCACUCAGGGCUAAAUGGAUUAAGGGCGGUGCAAGAUGUGCUUUGUUAAACAGAUGCUUGAAGGCAGCAUGCUCGUUGAGAGUCAUCACCACUCCCUAAUCUCAAGUAACCAGGGACACAAACACUGUGGAAGGCCGCAGGGUCCUCUGCCUAGGAAAACCAGAGACCUUUGUUCACUUGUUUAUCUGCUGACCUUCCCUCCACUAUUGUCCUAUGACCCUGCCAAAUCCCCCUCUGCGAGAAACACCCAAGAAUGAUCAAUAAAAAAAUAAAAUAAAAUAAAAUAAAAUAAAAUAAAUAAAGUUUCAUGCGCAUCCGUGUGAAGAGACCACCAAACAGGCUUUGUGUGAGCAGCAUGGCUGUUUAUUUCACCUGGGUGCAGGCGGGCUGAGUCCGAAAAGAGAGUCAGCCAAGGG
This 2617-nucleotide long non-coding RNA is filed under the name Homo sapiens (human). RNAcentral describes it as "HSALNT0044691". The record is from RNAcentral. Lineage: Eukaryota; Metazoa; Chordata; Mammalia; Primates; Hominidae.